RNAcentral lists this ribosomal RNA (450 nucleotides) under uncultured bacterium. Its description in RNAcentral is "partial 16S ribosomal RNA". It matches the Rfam family "Bacterial small subunit ribosomal RNA", at positions 354 to 796 of the family's 1533-position model. The record is from RNAcentral.
GUGGGGAAUUUUGGACAAUGGGCGCAAGCCUGAUCCAGCAAUGCCGCGUGCAGGAAGAAGGCCUUCGGGUUGUAAACUGCUUUUGUACGGAACGAAACGGUCCUGGCUAAUACCCGGGGCUAAUGACGGUACCGUAAGAAUAAGCACCGGCUAACUACGUGCCAGCAGCCGCGGUAAUACGUAGGGUGCGAGCGUUAAUCGGAAUUACUGGGCGUAAAGCGUGCGCAGGCGGUGCUGUAAGACAGGCGUGAAAUCCCCGGGCUCAACCUGGGAAUUGCGCUUGUGACUGCAGUGCUGGAGUGCGGCAGAGGGGGAUGGAAUUCCGCGUGUAGCAGUGAAAUGCGUAGAUAUGCGGAGGAACACCGAUGGCGAAGGCAAUCCCCUGGGCCUGCACUGACGCUCAUGCACGAAAGCGUGGGGAGCAAACAGGAUUAGAUACCCCAGUAGUCC